GAGCUUUGCAAAGACCUCAAGGCGUUCUCCAUCCUCUUUGGCUGCAUGUUUGACAGAUGCUUCUGACCCAUGGACCAAACCUGGUUCUGAGGCAUCCCAUAAUCCAAGGGUUUGUUUGGUUUUUUUUUAAAGUGCUGCAGCAGGAGGCAAUAUUGACUUUUGCAAAAUGUCCUCUGUAUUAAUUUGCAUUGAGUUUAAAAGUAAACCUGGAAGGCUGGUUAAUCUCUCAGGCCCAUUUUAAUUUGAGCUCUUGAAGUUUAGAGGUCAGGUCGGUGUGGUCUGCCUGCAUCACAUCUGGGCAGAGACUGUGCUGGCAGAAAAAGGAUAUGGGGAAAAUGUGCAUGUGGGGAGUUUCUGCCUGAUAAAGGGGAGGGGAGCAGCUGGCUGGAUGUUAAGACUAAUGGUAAGAUCAGGGGAAGAGAUUCCUAUCACUUCUCAGAUUGGUGUGACCAAAGCCAAGCUGGAGUGCUGGCUUUGGAGCAGAAGGACAAGGGUAAGCUCACCUCAGAGGGACUAACUGUGCUGAGGAGUGGAGGGAGUGCUGCCAUGGGCAGGGGAUGCAGGGGAUCUCACAGGGCAAAGAGAAAUAAGAAGGGAGCUCUGCAGGCAGAGCAUGUGAGACCAGCUCUGGGCUACUGCCUUCUGGAGUGGCUUGACAGAGGGGCUGUGUUUGGGCAUGUGGGUUUGCUGCUGUACAGCCCCUGAAAUCACAUCCCACAUCCCGAGCAGCUGAGGUGGAGGUUGCCCUGUGCCCUGGUCCUUGUUGCUCAGCACAGGUUUGGUUGCAUGGGGACAUGGACAUGUCAUGUCAUGCCAGAACAGCGUGCAUCGCCCUCCCAGCCGAGCUCCUGCAGGGCCUGGGGUCAGUGUUCCACUGGGCCUGGGGUCAGUGUUCUGCAGGGCCUGGGGUCAGUGUUCCACGGGGCCUGGGGUCAGUGUUCUGCAGGGCCUGGGGUCAGUGUUCCAUGGGGCCUGGGGUCAGUGUUCCAUGGGGCCUGGGGUCAGUGUUCUGCAGGGGCUGGGGUCAGAGUUCCACAGGGCCUGAGGCCUGGGGUCAGUGUUCUGCAGGGCCUGGGGACAGUGUUCUGCAGGGCCUGGGGUGGUAGCAGGUGCCUCGCAGAAAAGACAGAUUGGAGCUACAGAUUUGUGUGUGAGUCACGCCGUGCUGUUGCAAUACUCACCUGGCCACGACCUCAGCGGAGCCCUGUCCCUGCAUGCAGGAGCUCUUUGGGGCUCAGUGAUUCAGCUGCAUCAGAGGACUUGUGCCUUUCCCCUGUGCCCAGCUGUGUGUAUCCGAGGAAGCAUUUCUGCCUGCUGGGGAGUGAAUCACCCAGGAGUGGCUCACCCAGCCCUGCCUGCUGCGAGCAGGAAGGGGAAUGGAAGAGAGGAGGAGUGUGGGCAGCCUUCCUCCUGCUCUUGGGACUGGGGCUGCUUUGCAAUGCCACGCACGGGUUCUGCAGAGGGACAAGAAUCAAGUGGGGAUGGAGGCCUUGGCUGCUCCUGCACAGCCCUGCAAGGCACUCUGUGGCUGUCACCCUGAGCAGAGAGCAGCCAGCCUGCCCUGUGCAUGGGCUGCAGCUUGUCCCAAGCCCUGUGGCUCCUUCUCUGCUGGUGCUUCAGGCAAGCUGGGACACGGCCACCGCACUGGGGACAUGGCUGUGUCACACACUGAGCUGGGCUGAUCCCUGCCAGUUCCCACAGGAGCUGCAGGCUGGGGAUUUUCCAGAUGGGGAAACUGGUGCAGGGCCAUCCAGCUGUCUCCCACAGGCAGUGUGGGGCAUUCUGUGUGGAUGGAGCAAACUCUCCUUGUGUUCUUUCUGCUGUGCUAUUUCAUUUGCUGUAGACUGCAUUUGCUGUUCACUGGCUCAGAGCAGUUAAGAGCAUCUAAUUUAAGAACUACUACAAUAAAAACAACUUGUGGCAACGACACCAGUUUUAAAAGAAAGCCAGUUGGUGAGUCUUCCUCUUUGACCUGUCUGUUUUGGUAGCAUGAUGAGCAUUAGUCACUUGAAGCAAAAUCCUCUUUGCACUACCAGGUCCUGGGAGAACGGAGUUAGGAGUUGUAGGUAAGGCUGCUUUGGGCUGCCCAAAAAGAUAAUGUGGUGGGUAAGCCUGGUGAGCAUCUGUUUAGAUGGGAUUUACAAAAAUAUGUCCCUAACAGGUCAGAGCAGCCCUAUGGCCAGUCACUGAAAGGCCUGCUGCACUCAGAAAGGGCAGGACCAGGUGUUGGGGACCACAGACAUCCCACCUGGGGUUCCCCUACGUGGAGCUGCUCUGUGCUUGGCUGUGACUCUAACUUGAGUUUUCUGGUGGGAAUAUUGGCCAGGAUUAUUGGGCCUUGCUGCUGGCUCCAUUCAGUGAUCUGAACAGCAGCAAAGCUGUGUCUGAUCUGGAAACAGGUCCCUGAAGGACAGCAUGGUUGCACUUACCUCAUCCUGCAUCACAUCAGACUGCUUGUAGCCUCCAUUCUCGGGCUGUAUUAUGGCUUAUCCCACCCAUCCAUGCCUCCCUUAUUUGAUACCAAGCAAUGGGGUUGUUCUCUCCUGGUCCUGGGCAGAAGGGAACCUCACCCUUGUAGUGUCACCAUCCUUCGAGCACCUUGUUGGUGCUGUUGCUGCUGGCAGACACAUGCACGUGCCUGGUGCUGAGGCACCCUGGGACAAGGGCUGUGAGGUGCUGAGGUAAUUCUCACCAUCAAUAACUGCAGGGGAUGAAUCUCAGAUCACAUCUCUGGGGCAAGGCGAGGGACCUGCAGCUCAUGUAUUCCUGGCACGGGAAUCAAUAAUAAAAUUACAGCCCCUGAAAGUUCAGUGAUAAGCCUGACAGCGAUAGGUGUGGGGAGGGAAUUUCCUACAAACUGCUGACUAUAAACAUGGCUAAUAAUAUUAUUCUGAGAGGAUCUGAUUCAUGAUUUAUUAGACUUGUGUGGAACAGGCCCAUA
This 2941-nucleotide long non-coding RNA is filed under the name Ficedula albicollis (Collared flycatcher). Its description in RNAcentral is "lncRNA (ENSFALG00000023507.1)". Lineage: Eukaryota; Metazoa; Chordata; Aves; Passeriformes; Muscicapidae. The record is from RNAcentral.